This 447-nucleotide long non-coding RNA is filed under the name Ananas comosus (pineapple). RNAcentral describes it as "long non-coding RNA (ACOM_LNC037924)". Lineage: Eukaryota; Viridiplantae; Streptophyta; Magnoliopsida; Poales; Bromeliaceae. The record is from RNAcentral.
AGCAGUUCGGAACAGUUGGAGCCCUUCUUAAUGUCCGUUUGAGCUCAAAUUUGACAGACAGGCUCAGUUUAACGUACUGAGUAAGAAUAUAUUUUAAGUUUUCAGUUUCGACCCCAUUUGGUCACCGAAAACUGUACCGAAUUGUAAUCUUUAUCAGAUAGCUGUCGGAUUUUAUUUCUCACUCUACGGGUGUCAGAAAAAUAUGAAACUUUAAAUCUAGCCUCAUAAAAAUAUUUCUGACUUAUUUUCCAAUUUUCAUAAUUUUCUGAGACUGUGCAUUUUCUGCUAAUUUAUCUGUCCCGUUUCCAACAGAAAAUUCUAGAUCUUCUGUUUUCAUUCCGAUUUCAGCACAAGUCACUUCUGACUUAUGUUUUACUUCUAUAAAUCCAAUAAAAAUAGUUCCUCACACUAUUUUUAUUUAUUUUUAUUUUUAUACCAAAAUCUGGU